GUCCCCCUCCUUGACAGAAAAGGUCCGUUGGUAAUACGCGCAAAACAGGGUUGCCAGAUCUGCUGUGCCGCGUUCCGACUCCCCUCGCGUGCGCGCGCAUGACGUCAUGCGAUGCCGCCAGAUGCGAAAACAGACAGGCAUUAGACGGCGUACUGUAUUCUACAGGAUGAGAUGUGUCAUCAGAAUGAGUUUUAUGGGUCUCUGACUGCCAUUGUGGAGAAUGGUUUGCUAUAAUGGGACUAAAUUUUUUUUUGCUAACCUGGACAAAUAGCCAGUGAAAACAGGAAAAAGUACUAGGAUAACUGCUAGACACCUUAAGGCCCAUUCACACUGAUCCAACUCCAACUAACUCCAAAAAGCUCCAACGCAUUCUUCCCACAUACUGACGUAGAUAUGUGGGGGCGUGUUGGAACGAGCCGUUUUAGGGGGGUGUGGACAAGUCUUAACUUUUAUAAAGAAUAUCUAUAGAUUUGAGACUUUAGUCUUUGCAACUUUACAGAUCUUCUUUAUUCACCAAGAGCUUGUAACACUUCAAAGAGAAAGCAAAAAUUGAAAUCGCAGCAUAUGACCCCUUUAAUGGAGAUGGUCGGAUGGUAAAUGGAUAAUAAUGAUCUGUUUUAUUUGUAUUUUUUUUUAUAAAACUAUUGAAAUUAAUGGUGACUUUCAUUGAAAAACAACACAAGGAGAUGUUAGGGAAAGUGUUACUACUGACAAUUUAAGUUAAGGGGGACUUUCUCGUAGUGACUAGUGACAUGAUUGUUUAGAAUUCCCUCACUUGUAUUUUAUUUAAGAAGGACAGCCUAAAAAACACCAUCAAGAGAAUAAAUUAAGAGAAAAUUGUCAUUUUGCGGUGAACUAUGCAUUUUAACAAACUUGACAACCCCUUGGCAAUCCCUGUGACAAUUUUUUGUGGUGUUCCAACAGCUUUUGACAAAAGUGUUGGAUAAUGUAAAAUUUCAGUUAGCUGAACGAGUAAUUUGGAGGAAUGCCAUUCAGCCACUACAAAUGCAACCUUUAUUGCAACAUAACUAUUUUAAUUAUAUAGCAACCCAUUGUUGUAACUGAUUGUAAUAACACAUUGUUUACAUUACAGCCAUAUCAUUCUCAAUUACAUAAUCACUUUUUCUUUUUAGUUUGCAGAAUGUUUCUUAAAUGAUGAGUCGCUUCAGUUUUCCACAUCUGAAAAAAGUGUGGCUGCCCUAAGAAUGACUAUAGCUGCUUGUCUCCUGCAGAACACUGAUUGGCUGUGACGUGUGCCCACGUUGGUUUCACUGCAACUGUGUCCAAUGCUCAAGGAAACACAGACGUUCUGUUUCUCAUCUCAUUUCAUCAUUUCUUUUAAAGUUUUGUUAUUUUAAAACAUUCUGUUUGCUUAUUGUAAUUUCUAUGUAAUUGUAACACUAUGUAAACUGUAAAUAAAAACACUUAAUGAUUUUACCAUCUCGUGUUAUUCACAAUAGAAGAGUGAAAUCAUUAUAAAAAUAUGAUGAAAAAGUGGUACUAAAAGUAAACUGAUUAGGACAACUGACAACAGAUCAGUAACAUGACAUGAGUUGAUGUUGUGUAUGUGGGUCUGUGAAGGACAGUAUAAGUGUAAGUGGCAAAGGAAAAUAAUGAUGUACUGCCUUUAACUGUCAUUUUGCAUUACUGACACUGUUUUCCUAAUUAAUGUUGUUCAG
Long non-coding RNA from Cyprinus carpio (common carp), 1679 nucleotides. RefSeq lists it as uncharacterized. The record is from RefSeq and is a predicted model, not a curated record. Lineage: Eukaryota; Metazoa; Chordata; Actinopteri; Cypriniformes; Cyprinidae. The transcript is spliced from 3 exons.